UUUCCCGCAAGGUGGCACUGCCUGCCGUUUAGUAACGGAAAGAGUAGGGAUAAUGUUUAGUAUGCAAGGGGGUUGUGUAUCGGAUUACGUUUUUUGUUCUUUCCAAAGAAGGGAUCAACGCAAAAACUUACGUGUUGGUCUAACAUAUGUAAAAAAAAAGAAAGAAUCAGUUCACGUACCUGAAGAGAAUUAUCAAAAUUAGAAAAUAAUUAUUGCUGAAGCAUAAAUCAUUGUAAACGCCUUAUGUCAUCAGUAUAACAUUCAGAAAAUUUACGGUAAUGAAAAAAAAAGUGUAUCUUCGAGAUGAUUGAAUGGGAAUAGAAUUGGGCGUCGGUCACGUGUGGAUAUGUUUCCGCAAAGUAAGAACGCGAACAAAAACUUAACAAAGUUAACGAGGGAUAACUCAUUGCGACAAGUUUCCACGACGUUAGUACUUAUGCGAUAAUGAUAGAAUUGAGGAAAGUUUAUCACAGGAGAGAAGGUGAAACGAAUUAUUACUGGCUGUCGAGUAUUGAUUGUGUCGGACAAAUAGUUCAUGGUACAAUUUCACCUUUACCGAUAAAUAGAAAAAAUGCGAAAGAAAUUAAAUCUUUAAAAUAAAAUAUAUUCUCAAUAAUCAUGAUUAUUUAACUUGAA
Long non-coding RNA from Cephus cinctus (wheat stem sawfly), 636 nucleotides. RefSeq lists it as uncharacterized. NCBI's taxonomy places the organism in Eukaryota, Metazoa, Arthropoda, Insecta, Hymenoptera, Cephidae. The record is from RefSeq and is a predicted model, not a curated record. The transcript has 3 exons.